CACUUGCAUACUAUUGUGAGAGGUUUUUAAUGAGCAACUAGCAUGAGAGUGUGAAACUCAAUAUUCCGUGCUUAGAGAAGCGAGCACUUCCACAAUUCAGUGUUAAAAAUAGCUAGUCAUCAUGCAACAACCAUUGUGGUUGGCACUAGCGGUUACGGUUGUAUCCGUGAGCGAGGCUUGCGAGGAGGACCGAGCAAACUACUCCGUCUUCUACAACGUUGGCACCGAAGAGGAAGCGACGCUCUUUCCGUGCCUGCAGUGCUUUGCUCAGCCUUGCGUCAGCGACCGAGAAAAACUGAGGACGCCCAUUGUUGGGACAAGGAAGUAUUGCUGUAGAAGGUGCUCCCACGUCGCGGUGGCUGGCACUGCGUGCAGCCUGCAACGGGACGAGUCGGCCGUCGUCUGCCAUAAGGGGAAUAUCUGCAGCGUCACCGGAAAGGUCUGCGUAGAAGAGUGUCCGCUGCCACCCAUGCCGUAAAACAUAUAAGUUCGACGUUUUCUAGGGGCACCACAACCAAGACCACGGUUUUUCAUGGGCACUUUCCGAAAUAGUUGAAUAAAUCAAUGAAUGGACGUUCUGAAACUACACAGGGGGCAACCGUCGCCCGGCAUCGAACCCUCGGCCUCGUGCUCAGCAGCAGUGCGUGACAGCCACUGAGCGACCGCGGCUGG
This 672-nucleotide long non-coding RNA is filed under the name Dermacentor andersoni. RNAcentral describes it as "uncharacterized LOC126539514". Lineage: Eukaryota; Metazoa; Arthropoda; Arachnida; Ixodida; Ixodidae. The record is from RNAcentral.